This is a long non-coding RNA of Mustela erminea (ermine), 1878 nucleotides long. RefSeq lists it as uncharacterized. The record is from RefSeq and is a predicted model, not a curated record. Lineage: Eukaryota; Metazoa; Chordata; Mammalia; Carnivora; Mustelidae. The transcript is spliced from 2 exons.
CUGAGUAGCUGGCAUGAAGCACCUUUAAAAGGUCAUCUCCAAAGUCCCUUCAGUAGAUCUACUAAAGACUGAAGCUUAAUAAGCCAGAUUAAGGAUCUGAAUCCGUUUUUCACUUGGACAGUACUCGGAAGAUUCUCCCCUUUGAUCUUGGGUGAGAUUUCUACGUGUCUGUACAUGGCAGUGUUGCACAAGCAUGUGCCACAGGGGCCCUGCAGACCCUGCCCUGCUUCAUGGCCUCGGCACGCCUGGGGGCACUGCUCUCCUGCGUGGUGGAGGGGAAUGGCCUGCAGUGGGGCUGGGGGUACAGGAGGGUUAGAUUUGGCACGUGUCCUUCUGGUUUAGAGCACCCGUUUUGGGAGGCACAUCUGAGCGUUUGGUCUUCAGCUGUGUUCUCGACCUAGAACUGCCCCUGGGAUCUUGGCAGUGUUGCUCAGGGUCUGUGGAACUGACAUGUUGCAUGUUGAGAAGGCCCCAGGAGGUUUCCUUACCUGGGUCCUUCAGCUUCUUUAAUAUCUGUGUUGAGAAAAGGCCUGUUGGUGGAAGAGGAGAAGGGACUGUUAACUAGAGGCGUGGGGAGGAAGACUGAGUGAGAGCAGAACCAUGCGGCUUCUGCAGAGUGAGUCUUGGGGCCAUUCUGGUGCAUUGGAACCUCGUGCUCUGUGGACCUAAGAACCUCCUGGGCGCGCUUGCUAGCCAGGACCAGAACCUCCAGAUGCUGCUGGGAGUUCAUGUUCUCACGUGAUCCCUGUCCCUGGGUAAUGGCCCUGUGCAUGUCCACUUGAGCAGCACUGCCCCUGGCCAUCUGUGGUUCCUCAGUACUCAGAAAGAUUGUCAGACCACAGCCUGAGGAUUCCAAAGUCCAGGGGCAUGUCUGAUGUGUGAGGAGAAAAGUUCUGUCUCAAGCAGCUAAAUAAAUACUUGGUUCCUCGAGGCAGAGGGAUACCUGUUGGCCAUCUGUUGCUUGUGGGUGGGGAAGGGAGGGGAAAAGAAAACUGGUUAUGAUACAGGGAAGAGCACUGAGCACAGUGGUGGAAACAUCCCACUUACGGAGUUGAACAGUCUAGGAGUCAGGUGUCUCCUGCUUGCUUUUCUGUGUGCAGAUGAGCGCUAAGGCCCAGGGGUGAAGUGACCUGCCUAAGGCUCCCCAGCAAGCUGGAAUCCAAAUUGGGUGCACUGAAAACAAGCCCAGAAGGAAGAUGGCUUUGGAGCUGGGCCUACAGAUCCUGGGACCUAACCUUCCUGAGCCAGGCGGUGGGUCAAAGCCCACGAAGGGGUGAGGCACUCGGCAGUGAGCAAGGGGAGUUCACCAAGGCUCCACAGACGGACAGACAGACUAGUCUGGACAGCACUAUGGCACUAGUUUUGGUUCCUUCACCUGAACAUUCAAGACCUGGACCCAUCAGGUGGGGGUGAGCAUGCGUGGAGUCGGUUUCCACAGCUGACCAGUGCCUGUCCCAGCACUGCUUGGAAAAAUGGCUGCCUGGCAGGUAGCUUCCCACAGGUAUCUCCACCUGGAGUGCGCCAGACGAAGCUCUGUCGUCCUCUGGGUCAGCUUCCUGUGGCUAAUGGAACACCUGAGCCGAGUGGAGGUAAGCUCACUUCCUCUGUGCCUACUGGUGGAGGUAAUGGCCUGUCCUGACAUGGGGGACAUGGGGUAGGUCUGAGGCCUCCUGCAGAGACUGAUAUUUUCUGCACCAGAGUGAAAAAUAAAGGAUUUUAUUGCAGAUCUUGAGAUGCAUUCACAAGGGUGUGACAUGGCCAGACUUGGAAGCAGGGAAGGCACAGUGUGUGGGGGGGGGGUGGGAAGAGGGGCACGGGGUGCUCACUACACUAGUGCACCUGCUGGAAAACCACUCAACUGUGUGAAAAAUGACAGUA